GACGAACGCUGGCGGCGUGCUUAACACAUGCAAGUCGAACGGAAAGGCCCUGCUUUUGUGGGGUUCUCGAGUGGCGAACGGGUGAGUAACACGUGAGUAACCUCCCCUUGACUGUGUGAGAACUUCAGGAAACUGGGGCGAAUACCGGAUAGGAGCUCCUGCUGCAUGGUGGGGGUUGGAAAGUUUCGGCGUUUGUGGAUGGACUCGCGGCUUAUCAGCUGGUUGGUGUGGUAGUUGCUUACCAAGGUUUUGACGGGUAGCCGGCCUGGGAGGGUGACAGGCCCCAGUGGGCCUGGGGUACGACCCGGAGGCCUACGGGAGGCAGCAGUGGAGAACAUAGCACAAUGGGCGGAGGCAGGAAGCAGCAACGCCGGGUGCGAGAUCACGGCCAUCGGGUUGUAAACCGCUUUUGCCUGUGACGAAGCGUGAGUGACGGUAAUGGGCAAAGAAGCACCGGCUAACUACGU
RNAcentral lists this ribosomal RNA (467 nucleotides) under uncultured bacterium. RNAcentral's name for it is "partial 16S ribosomal RNA". It matches the Rfam family "Bacterial small subunit ribosomal RNA", at positions 28 to 506 of the family's 1533-position model. The record is from RNAcentral.